RNAcentral lists this long non-coding RNA (915 nucleotides) under Equus caballus (horse). RNAcentral's name for it is "lncRNA (ENSECAG00000046951.1)". The record is from RNAcentral. Lineage: Eukaryota; Metazoa; Chordata; Mammalia; Perissodactyla; Equidae.
CUUGCCUGUGGCACUUGGCGCCCUCUCUGUGACUGUGUGUGUGUGUUCCGUCGCUGUCCUGCAAGGUCCUCACAGUGUCCCGGUGGAGGGCCCAGGGGUGACGUUGGUGAGUUUUUCUUCUUGCAAGAGGAGAGGCACUGUGGCAGUGAAGGGAAAGCAAUGGCUGGUCACGGACCACAUGCCUGGAGGUACCCCUCGCUCCCGGGCAUGCUCAGCUUGGCUCCGGCUCCAGAAGGUGUGUGGGCUUCAUCACGCAGGUGUUGCGGGGAAUGGAUGAGUCCGCUGGUGGGAAGCGCUCUGUAAGAUGGAAGCUUUGGAAGCUCCCCCACCAGACCCAUUUCUGGAUCCAUGGACCUCUUCCACCCGGGGGUGCUGGUUGAGAAUCCAGAGAAGGAGGCCCCGAGCCCUCACUGCACACGGAUGGCCUUCCUCCUCCUCUGGGUGCUCCAUCCCUGUGGGAGGCAGCCAGGACCAGGACUCAGGCCCUCCUUAGGAUGCCUACACUGUGGGCUUUGGGGCCAGGCGCCUAGCCAGGGGCUGUGCAGGAAGCAGAGAAUCCUCUGUACCCCAGAUGUAUUGGUUUUCCCCACGUCGAGCAAUUCAACGACCCCAGCUGGGGAGCCUACGAUUUAACUCAAUUCUGACAGUAUCUACCUGGAGCAGAGACGGCACUGCACAGGUACCAGGCGGGAACCCAUGGCCCCAGGAUGACCUUGGCCUUCAAUUAGGAAAAUCCGGCUCCAGCAGCCCAAGUAGCUUGAUUACCAUAUAUGGACUAAUUUGAGACUGGCUCACACGGGCCCAGCUGCAGCUCAGCCCCUAACUCCUUAAAUUUUACCCCAAACCUUGGAUUGGGGAGACAGUUUGGGAGCUUUGCCUCCUGUCUCCCUGCCGGUUGACCUCGCAAUAAAGCUC